Molecule: ribosomal RNA, 766 nt
Filed under: Achromobacter sp. PBL-H7
Lineage: Bacteria; Pseudomonadati; Pseudomonadota; Betaproteobacteria; Burkholderiales; Alcaligenaceae
Description: bacterial SSU rRNA
Rfam family: Bacterial small subunit ribosomal RNA
Source: RNAcentral
GCGGGAUGCCUUACACAUGCAAGUCGAACGGCAGCACGGACUUCGGUCUGGUGGCGAGUGGCGAACGGGUGAGUAAUGUAUCGGAACGUGCCUAGUAGCGGGGGAUAACUACGCGAAAGCGUAGCUAAUACCGCAUACGCCCUACGGGGGAAAGCAGGGGAUCGCAAGACCUUGCACUAUUAGAGCGGCCGAUAUCGGAUUAGCUAGUUGGUGGGGUAACGGCUCACCAAGGCGACGAUCCGUAGCUGGUUUGAGAGGACGACCAGCCACACUGGGACUGAGACACGGCCCAGACUCCUACGGGAGGCAGCAGUGGGGAAUUUUGGACAAUGGGGGAAACCCUGAUCCAGCCAUCCCGCGUGUGCGAUGAAGGCCUUCGGGUUGUAAAGCACUUUUGGCAGGAAAGAAACGUCAUGGGCUAAUACCCCGUGAAACUGACGGUACCUGCAGAAUAAGCACCGGCUAACUACGUGCCAGCAGCCGCGGUAAUACGUAGGGUGCAAGCGUUAAUCGGAAUUACUGGGCGUAAAGCGUGCGCAGGCGGUUCGGAAAGAAAGAUGUGAAAUCCCAGAGCUUAACUUUGGAACUGCAUUUUUAACUACCGAGCUAGAGUGUGUCAGAAGGGAGGUGGAAUUCCGCGUGUAGCAGUGAAAUGCGUAGAUAUGCGGAGGAACACCGAUGGCGAAGGCAGCCUCCUGGGAUAACACUGACGCUCAUGCACCGAAGCGUGGGGAGCAAACAGGAUUAGAUACCCCUGGUAGUCCAC